CUGUUCCCAGGAAGAUGAUUUCUCCUAAAUUAAGAAUAGGGAAAGAAAAACCCAACAAGGAUUGCAGGAGACUCUGGCCUCUGAUAUCACUGAUGUCCAGAAACAAGAUUCUGAGUGGGGACACAGCCUGCCAGGGCGAAUUGUCCCACCCCUGCAGCACAACUCACCUCCACCUAAGGAGCGAGCAGCCACCGGCUUCUUUGGGUUUCUAAGCUCUCUCUUCCCGUUUCGAUAUUUCUUCAGGAAGAGCAGCCACUCUUGAGCCUUCCAAAUGCAGCGCUGGAAAGAGGAUCAUCUCUUGUAGUGACUCCUCCCGAGCCAUUCUUCCUCCAACUCUAUCCUUUUCUUAUGACACUUCAGUCGUGGGGAAUGAGGUCCCCAUGCUGAGUCCUCUGUGGUUUUAUCGUGUCCUUUGCCCCUUUAUAAUAGAUUUUUUCCCCCAAUUUAAAACAUUAAGAAUGGAACUUUCUAAAAUGUUCAUGUCCUGAGGGCCGGUUUAGGCCUUUUGUCUUCGGCACUUAGGAUCCUAAUGACAAUAAAUUAUUUAUGAAGAGUUAUUGAUUGAAUUUAGUGGAAUAGAGUAAAAGAGAACAAAUGCUUCCCUCAAGAUACAGAGAAAAUGCAUGAAACUUCCCUAGGUCUACCUGGUUACUAUUCACAGGAUCACUUUGGGUAGGUGAGUUUGUGCCAGAGGUUAGGGAAUGGGGUCUUUCAAGACUCACUGUCCUGAGCCCUGCUCACCCAAGAGACCUCUUCCCCAGUUCCAGUUUG
RNAcentral lists this long non-coding RNA (771 nucleotides) under Homo sapiens (human). RNAcentral's name for it is "HSALNT0363233". Lineage: Eukaryota; Metazoa; Chordata; Mammalia; Primates; Hominidae. The record is from RNAcentral.